Molecule: ribosomal RNA, 496 nt
Filed under: uncultured bacterium
Lineage: Bacteria
Description: partial 16S ribosomal RNA
Rfam family: Bacterial small subunit ribosomal RNA
Source: RNAcentral
GAUGAACGCUGGCGGCGUGCCUAAUACAUGCAAGUCGAGCGAACAGACGAGGAGCUUGCUCCUCUGACGUUAGCGGCGGACGGGUGAGUAACACGUGGAUAACCUACCUAUAAGACUGGGAUAACUUCGGGAAACCGGAGCUAAUACCGGAUAAUAUAUUGAACCGCAUGGUUCAAUAGUGAAAGACGGUUUUGCUGUCACUUAUAGAUGGAUCCGCGCCGCAUUAGCUAGUUGGUAAGGUAACGGCUUACCAAGGCAACGAUGCGUAGCCGACCUGAGAGGGUGAUCGGCCACACUGGAACUGAGACACGGUCCAGACUCCUACGGGAGGCAGCAGUAGGGAAUCUUCCGCAAUGGGCGAAAGCUUGACGGAGCAACGCCGCGUGAGUGAUGAAGGUCUUCGGAUCGUAAAACUCUGUUAUUAGGGAAGAACAAAUGUGUAAGUAACGGUGCACGUCUUGACGGGACCUAAUCAGAAAGCCACGGCUAACUACGU